This 1168-nucleotide long non-coding RNA is filed under the name Physcomitrium patens. Its description in RNAcentral is "long non-coding RNA (PPAT_LNC000510)". The record is from RNAcentral. Lineage: Eukaryota; Viridiplantae; Streptophyta; Bryopsida; Funariales; Funariaceae.
AGACCAUAAUAAUGCUAAGCAAGCUUUAAUCAAAUUCAAAAAAACCUCAAAGAAAUUUCAAAGAAAUAAUAAGAAAUCUUAAAGAAAUAUUAGAAUGAUCACAAAUAUCUCUCAAAUAUAUCUCAAUUCAAUCUUAAUUUAAUUCUAGUUAAAAUCCUAUUGGACUUCAUUCAAACUUUAAGACAAAACUAAUUAAAUCUUAAACCCUAAUAAAAUCCUAAAUCCUAAAUCAAACUCUAAAUCCUAAACAAACCUUAAACCAAAUCCCAACCAAAUCUUAAAUCAAAUCCUAACCAAACCAUAAACCAAACCCUAACCAAACCCUAAAUGAAAUCCUAACCAAACUUGAAACCAAACCUCAAAUCCUAAACAAAAUCCUAAUCAAAUCCUAAUCCUAAAUCAAAUCCUAAACCUAAACCAAAUCCUGAAAUCUAAACCAAAUCCCAACCAAACCCUAAACCAAACCCUAAACCAAACCCUAAAUCCUAAAUCAAACCUUAACCAAAUUCUAAUCCUAAAUCAAAUCCUAACCAAAUUCUAAAUCAAAUCCUAAAUCCUAAAUCAAAUCCUAAUCAAACUCUAAACCCUAAACCAAUCCCUAAUCAAACCCUAAUAAUUCCUAUAAUAGAUUUAAACCUCAAUAACUAAUGAAUAAACUGUUGAUCUUAAUUCAAACUUUGCACACUUCUUAAAAAAUAAGUUAAAAACAAGCACAAAAAAUUUGAAAAGGAUCGGAAUUACUAAAUAGACGAUAACCUCAAAAAUGUGCUCAGGUAUUGGCAGGCCUCCUUCUCCAACCUUGAUGUCAAUCUCCCAAAGCCAAUAUCUCUCCUUUUCAUCGUUUGAUUGAUUUCAAAAUUCUCAAAUACAUAGAAAAGCAAGUCUUAUAUCCUCUCACACAAAUUUCAUUCCAAUCCAACUAGUAGAUUGCAAGAAAUCUUAAAAACCCUUACUAGACCUAAAAUUCUACUUAUUGAGACCUUGAUCCACUAAAACCUCAAUAAUUCUCAAUUCAACCGUUAGAUCGAGCUUAAAUUCACAACAUAUAUUAAAUACAACUACAACCAUGAACUCACAAAAUUUCACUUGUAGAUCUAUUACAAAACUCUUGAAAUCACUCAAAAUGUAAACCCUAUUGUAUUUCAUAAAACCCAAGUCAUCUAAAACA